This 72-nucleotide transfer RNA is filed under the name bacterium. Its description in RNAcentral is "tRNA-Met". It matches the Rfam family "tRNA". From Rfam's summary of the family: Transfer RNA (tRNA) molecules are approximately 80 nucleotides in length. Their secondary structure includes four short double-helical elements and three loops (D, anti-codon, and T loops). The record is from RNAcentral.
GGCAGGGUAGCUCAGUGGCAGAGCGAGGGACUCAUAAGCCCUAGGUCGUGGGUUCAAUCCCCACCCCUGUCA